This 335-nucleotide long non-coding RNA is filed under the name Bos taurus (domestic cattle). RNAcentral describes it as "long non-coding RNA NONBTAT028938". Lineage: Eukaryota; Metazoa; Chordata; Mammalia; Artiodactyla; Bovidae. The record is from RNAcentral.
UUGCUAAACAUAGGUGUUUUAUUAAAAGAUGCAUAGUUAGCCGACUUCGAGGGUUUCUCUAAGAGUCAUGGGUGAUACUUAUAUUUUAUAUUUGCAUAACUCAAAUCCCUCGAGUUGGUUUUCCUAGUCUGCCCAAAUACAAAUUUCAAGCCUUCACCUGUCCGGUGACUGAAAACUGUUCACCGCUAAAAAUGUUUAUUUUGUUCCCCUCAUUUUAAAUGGGGACAUUUAAAUUUUCUUUUUCUUCUUUUCAAUGUUUCAGGAAAUCUUGGGGCGUCCAAUCUCAACCAGGUCAUCCUUAGGCAAGUUACAUUUUACAUGGUUCAGUUUGAACU